UUUUAGCCCAGAUAGAAACGAUAUCCUUUUUCUGGCUCCUUUAGCCAGAAAAAGGAUAUCGUUUCUAUCUGGAAAAAGC
This 79-nucleotide small RNA is filed under the name Flavobacterium chilense. RNAcentral's name for it is "Flavo-1 RNA". It matches the Rfam family "Flavo-1 RNA". The record is from RNAcentral. Lineage: Bacteria; Pseudomonadati; Bacteroidota; Flavobacteriia; Flavobacteriales; Flavobacteriaceae.